RNAcentral lists this ribosomal RNA (165 nucleotides) under Fritillaria cirrhosa. Its description in RNAcentral is "5.8S ribosomal RNA". It matches the Rfam family "5.8S ribosomal RNA". From Rfam's summary of the family: 5.8S ribosomal RNA (5.8S rRNA) is a component of the large subunit of the eukaryotic ribosome. It is transcribed by RNA polymerase I as part of the 45S precursor that also contains 18S and 28S rRNA. The record is from RNAcentral. Lineage: Eukaryota; Viridiplantae; Streptophyta; Magnoliopsida; Liliales; Liliaceae. RNAcentral also lists the same sequence under 8 other names.
CAUACGACUCUCGGCAACGGAUAUCUCGGCUCUCGCAUCGAUGAAGAACGUAGCGAAAUGCGAUACUUGGUGUGAAUUGCAGAAUCCCGUGAACCAUCGAGUCUUUGAACGCAAGUUGCGCCCGAGGCCUUUCGGCCGAGGGCACGCCUGCCUGGGCGUCACGCC